This 460-nucleotide ribosomal RNA is filed under the name uncultured bacterium. RNAcentral's name for it is "partial 16S ribosomal RNA". It matches the Rfam family "Bacterial small subunit ribosomal RNA", at positions 338 to 795 of the family's 1533-position model. The record is from RNAcentral.
CCUACGGGUGGCUGCAGUGAGGAAUAUUGGUCAAUGGGCGUGAGACUGAACCAGCCAAGUAGCGUGCAGGAUGACUGCCCUACGGGUUGUAAACUUCUUUUAUACAGGAAUAAAGUGAGGCACGUGUGCCUUUUUGUAUGUACUUUAUGAAUAAGGAUCGGCUAAUUCCGUGCCAGCAGCCGCGGUAAUACGGAGGAUCCGAGCGUUAUCCGGAUUUAUUGGGUUUAAAGGGAGCGUAGAUGGGGUGUUAAGUCAGUUGUGAAAGUUUGCGGCUCAACCGUAGAAUUGCAGUUGAUACUGGCAGCCUUGAGUGCAGGUGAGGUAGGCGGAAUUCGUGGUGUAGCGGUGAAAUGCUUAGAUAUCACGAAGAACUCCGAUUGCGAAGGCAGCAUACUAAACUGCCACUGACAUUGAUGCUCGAAAGUGUGGGUAUCAAACAGGAUUAGAUACCCUGGUAGUC